UACGUAGGAUGCAAGCGUUGUCCGGAAUUACUGGGCGUAAAGCGCGCGUAGGCGGCCCGCUGCGUCGGUCGUGAAAGCUCCCGGCUUACCUGGGAGAGGGCGACCGAAACGAGCGGGCUGGAGGGCGGUAGGGGCUGGCGGAACGCCCGGAGUAGCGGUGAAAUGCGUUGAGAUCGGGCAGAACACCAGUGGCGCAGGCGGCCAGCUGGGCCGACCCUGACGCUGAGGCGCGAAAGCCAGGGGAG
Molecule: ribosomal RNA, 245 nt
Filed under: uncultured bacterium
Lineage: Bacteria
Description: partial 16S ribosomal RNA
Rfam family: Bacterial small subunit ribosomal RNA
Source: RNAcentral